AGAUUAAGUUAUUAAGGGCGCACGGUGGAUGCCUUGGCACUAGAAGCCGAUGAAGGACGUUACUAACGACGAUAUGCUUUGGGGAGCUGUAAGUAAGCUUUGAUCCAGAGAUUUCCGAAUGGGGAAACCCAGCAUGAGUUAUGUCAUGUUAUCGAUAUGUGAAUACAUAGCAUAUCAGAAGGCACACCCGGAGAACUGAAACAUCUUAGUACCCGGAGGAAGAGAAAGAAAAUUCGAUUCCCUUAGUAGCGGCGAGCGAAACGGGAAGAGCCCAAACCAACAAGCUUGCUUGUUGGGGUUGUAGGACACUCUAUACGGAGUUACAAAGGACGACAUUAGACGAAUCAUCUGGAAAGAUGAAUCAAAGAAGGUAAUAAUCCUGUAGUCGAAAAUGUUGUCUCUCUUGAGUGGAUCCUGAGUACGACGGAGCACGUGAAAUUCCGUCGGAAUCUGGGAGGACCAUCUCCUAAGGCUAAAUACUCUCUAGUGACCGAUAGUGAACCAGUACCGUGAGGGAAAGGUGAAAAGCACCCCGGAAGGGGAGUGAAAUAGAACCUGAAACCGUGUGCUUACAAGUAGUCAGAGCCCGUUAAUGGGUGAUGGCGUGCCUUUUGUAGAAUGAACCGGCGAGUUACGAUUUGAUGCAAGGUUAAGCAGUAAAUGUGGAGCCGUAGCGAAAGCGAGUCUGAAUAGGGCGUUUAGUAUUUGGUCGUAGACCCGAAACCAGGUGAUCUACCCUUGGUCAGGUUGAAGUUCAGGUAACACUGAAUGGAGGACCGAACCGACUUACGUUGAAAAGUGAGCGGAUGAACUGAGGGUAGCGGAGAAAUUCCAAUCGAACCUGGAGAUAGCUGGUUCUCUCCGAAAUAGCUUUAGGGCUAGCCUCAAGUGAUGAUUAUUGGAGGUAGAGCACUGUUUGGACGAGGGGCCCCUCUCGGGUUACCGAAUUCAGACAAACUCCGAAUGCCAAUUAAUUUAACUUGGGAGUCAGAACAUGGGUGAUAAGGUCCGUGUUCGAAAGGGAAACAGCCCAGACCACCAGCUAAGGUCCCAAAAUAUAUGUUAAGU
This 1068-nucleotide ribosomal RNA is filed under the name Staphylococcus sp. HMSC062H10. RNAcentral describes it as "bacterial LSU rRNA". It matches the Rfam family "Bacterial large subunit ribosomal RNA", at positions 1 to 1064 of the family's 2925-position model. Lineage: Bacteria; Bacillati; Bacillota; Bacilli; Caryophanales; Staphylococcaceae. The record is from RNAcentral.